CCUUUGCCGGCGACCGGCGCACGGGUGAGUAACACGUAUGCAACCUGCCCUCUUCAGGGGGACAACCUUCCGAAAGGGAGGCUAAUCCCGCGUAUAUCGGUUUCGGGCAUCCGAGAUCGAGGAAAAAUUCAUCGGAAGAGGAUGGGCAUGCGGCGCAUUAGCUAGACGGCGGGGUAACGGCCCACCGUGGCGACGAUGCGUAGGGGUUCUGAGAGGAAGGUCCCCCACACUGGUACUGAGACACGGACCAGACUCCUACGGGAGGCAGCAG
Molecule: ribosomal RNA, 271 nt
Filed under: uncultured bacterium
Lineage: Bacteria
Description: partial 16S ribosomal RNA
Rfam family: Bacterial small subunit ribosomal RNA
Source: RNAcentral